Molecule: unclassified non-coding RNA, 201 nt
Filed under: Hevea brasiliensis (rubber tree)
Lineage: Eukaryota; Viridiplantae; Streptophyta; Magnoliopsida; Malpighiales; Euphorbiaceae
Source: RNAcentral
GUGAAUAUUAAGUACCAUAAUGUGUGUAGGGAGGAAUAUAAUGUUUUUGUUAUAAGAUAAAAGGUUGUUGGUGUUUAUGGGGGGGUCUAGAAAAUCUCUUGCUUUUAUUUGUUGUCCCUCCAAUUUUUAGUUUUAGUGACUCAUUAGGGUUAUAAGUCCGUUUUACUUAAUUUAGUAGUUAGUUCCUUUUUUCUUCCCCAU